Molecule: long non-coding RNA, 1607 nt
Organism: Piliocolobus tephrosceles (Ugandan red Colobus)
Lineage: Eukaryota; Metazoa; Chordata; Mammalia; Primates; Cercopithecidae
Exons: 3
Source: RefSeq, a predicted model, not a curated record
GGUGGAGGUAGUGAUGUUUUUGGUAGUGAUAAUGGUGGUGAUGGUGGAGAUAGUGAUGGUGCUGUUGGUAGUGAUGAUAGUGGUGAUGGCAAAGGUAGUGAUCAUGCUGUUGGUAGUGAUGAUGGUGGUGAUGGUGGAGGUAGUGACGAUGUUGUUGGUAGUGAUGAUUGUGGUGAUGAUGGAGGUACUGAUGGUGUUGGUAGAGAUGAUGGUGGUAAUGGAGGUGGUGAUGGUGUUGUUGGGAGUGACGAUGGUGGUGGUGGUGAAGGUAGUGAUGGUGUCAGUGAUGACCAUGUUAAAAAAGAAAAAAAGAAGCUGCUCCUUUCUGAGUCUAGGCCAAAUCUCCAGAAACUCAGGUGUCUGCUUGCAUAAGAUAUGGGAAAUGUUCUCUGCUCUAGAAGCCAUGGUCCACAAGCUUCCCUGAUCCAGGAGCAACUUGGGCAAGGGCUUCUGGAGAGUAGAAGAUGAUGCAUCAUAGAUAUUAAGAACAAAGCUGUGUCCAAGUCAUGCCUAACCUCAUGAAACCUCAGUUUACUCACUUGCAAAAUGGAGAUAAUACUUAUAACCUACAUCAUAAGGAUGAGACUCCAAUAAGAUAAGAAGGAUGUAGGUUGGGCACAGUGGCUUACGCCUGUAAUACCAGCACUUUGGGAGACUGAACCAGGGAGGAUCUCUUGAUGGCAGGGGUUCAAGACCAGCCUGGGCAACAUGGCGAGACCCCCAUCUCUACAAAAAAAUAAAAUAAAUUAGCUAGGCCUAAUAGUACACACCUACAGACCCAGUUACUUGAGAGGCUGAGGUGGGAGAAUUGCUUGAGCCCAGGGGUUAGAGGUUGCAGUGAGCUAUAACUGCGCCACUGCCCUCCAGCCUGGAUGACAGAGUGAAACCUUGUUUCAAGAAGGAAAAAGAGAAGGAUGCAACAUGAUGCUUAGCGCACAGUAAAUGCAUCAAAAAGAUCCUGAGCCUCCCCAGGGUUCACUCUCCCUAACCCUCUCUUGCUGACCUUGUCUGCUGAAACAGUCAUGACUAUAGACUUCUGCCCCCUGCUCUUGGAGAAAGACUUAAGGGUCUCUUCCUCACUCUCUGAAGCCCCAGUAUUAGUUUCUUUGUCCCCAUGCCCACUCCCCAGCAACUCCAGCGCCCUGGCUCAAUCAGACAUCUGAAGGUCCUGGCUGCUCCCAGCAGAGGUGGAUGGUAUUCCUGUGUCUGCUGGUGGUGACUUCCAUGUUCCUGGGCUGCCUCGGUCUCACUGUGACCCUGAUUAAAUACCAGGAGUUGAUGGAAGAACUGAGAAUAUUAAACUUUCAGCAGAUGACGUGGCAAGCAAAUAAAGAAUCUUCUGACCUGGCAUGGCUUUCAUUGUGACUGCUGAAGUCUGAAUAUAUCUCCAUUCCACACUGCCUCACCCUAUGCUUCAUAACAAGCAAGCUCAAAUCCCAUCAAUGGCUUCUCAUUGUCCGGAGUCCAAGGUGAAACCUUUAGCUUGGCAUUCAAGGAUCCACAUACUAGGUUGGGUACAGUGGCUCAUGUCUGUAAUCCUAGCACUUUGGAUGGCCAAGGUGGGAAGAUCCCUUGAGACCAGGAGUUCAAGACCAGCCUGGACAGAG